CAGCCGCCGCGGUAAUACGUAGGGUGCGAGCGUUAAUCGGAUUUACUGGGCGUAAAGGGCGCGUAGGUGGUUAUGUAAGUGAGAUGUGAAAUCCCCGGGCUCAACCUGGGAACUGCAUCUUAUACUGCGUAGCUGGAGUGCAGUAGAGGGUAGUGGAAUUUCCGGUGUAGCGGUGAAAUGCGUAGAUAUCGGAGGGAACACCAGUGGCGAAGGCGGCUACCUGGACUGACACUGACACUGAGGCGCGAAAGCGUGGGGAGCAAACAGGAUUAGAUACCCCUGUAGUCCCUGUCUCUUAUAC
This 301-nucleotide ribosomal RNA is filed under the name uncultured bacterium. RNAcentral's name for it is "partial 16S ribosomal RNA". It matches the Rfam family "Bacterial small subunit ribosomal RNA", at positions 509 to 807 of the family's 1533-position model. The record is from RNAcentral.